GACUGUUUAUCAAAAACAUAUUUAAUAGUUAUAAUUAUUAAUAAUAUCUGCUCAAUGUAUAAUAAAUAGCCGCAGUUCAUACUGUGCUAAGGUAGCAUAAUCAUUUGUCUUUUAAUUAAAAACUAGAAUGAAAGAUUCAACAUUUAAAUUAUUAUUAAAAACUUCUAUUUUUAAUUUAUUCUAAAUGUUAAAAAACAUUUAUAAAUAGAAAGACGACAAGACCCUAUCGAACUUAACUUAAGUUAAACUGGGACAGUUUAUUAAAAAUAAUUUUAAUAUUAUAUAUAAAAAAAAUGACCUAAUAUAAUUAAUUAAUUAAUUAAGUUACCGUAGGGAUAACAGCGUAAUAUUUUCAUUAGAUCUUAUAUAAAAAAAUAAUUGCGACCUCGAUGUUGAAUUAAUUUUCUAAUAAAAGCAACAAUUUAUAAAGAAGGUCUGUUCGACCUUUAAACAAUUACAUGAUUUGAGUUCAGACCGGUGUAAACCAGGUCGGUUUCUAUCUU
Molecule: ribosomal RNA, 503 nt
Filed under: Olios cf. lacticolor SD740
Lineage: Eukaryota; Metazoa; Arthropoda; Arachnida; Araneae; Sparassidae
Description: partial 16S ribosomal RNA
Rfam family: Bacterial large subunit ribosomal RNA
Source: RNAcentral